RNAcentral lists this non-coding RNA (212 nucleotides) under Hespellia stercorisuis. RNAcentral's name for it is "T-box sequence". It matches the Rfam family "T-box leader". Rfam says of the family: Uncharged tRNA acts as the effector for transcription antitermination of genes in the T-box leader family. T-boxes are found upstream of many aminoacyl-tRNA synthetase genes and some amino acid biosynthetic genes usually in Gram-positive bacteria. The anticodon of a specific tRNA base pairs to a specifier sequence within the T-box motif, and the NCCA acceptor tail of the tRNA base pairs to a conserved bulge in the T-box antiterminator hairpin. The record is from RNAcentral. Lineage: Bacteria; Bacillati; Bacillota; Clostridia; Lachnospirales; Lachnospiraceae.
CAAAACACGUUGAAGAGACGAGUAGAAUGUGAAAGGUUACAGAGAGAGAAGCCUUGUGCUGGAAGCUUCUUAUCACGGAAACAUUUGAAGACUACCUCUGAGUGGCAGCAAAACUGUCCGGUGAUUCCGUUAUCAUCACAAUGAAGUGGUUCUGACGUAUUGUCAGCUCAAGUAGGGUGGAACCGCGAGCUAUGAGUAGACUCGUCCCUUUC